AAGGAUGGACAAAGUCCUCCAAAGUCCCAAACCCAUGGCUUUGAUUCUUUAUGUCUCAACCACAAUUAGCUUUAUUUUAAAAAUGACUGCUAAAAAGCAACUUAAAAAUCACUUGAUAAAAACUAUGAUAUAUAGCUGAGUAAAUGAUAAUUUUAAUUAAAUCAUGCCAUGUAAUACAUAUAUAUUCUUGUUCAUGGUUGUAGUUAAAUUGACCUUUUUUUUGUUGGGGGGGGAGGGGGAAUUGACCAAUUUAUCAACAAAGAAGAAAGCGAAAAUUGAUGAUUUCUCAAGUUGUUACCAGAAGAUUUGGGUGGCCAGUGGUCAUUGAAGGUAAAAUAAAAGCCAAAUAAUGCACCGAAAUUUCAAGAUAUGUAAAGUGAAAGGUCGUUAUUUUGCAAUUGGAAUUUAGGCCAACCAAAUCUUAACACGAAAUUCCUCCUUUCAUGUCACGGACGCACUCUGUGUGAUUGAAUGUUUGAAAUAUUGAGAGUUACGCGAAUCCAAUUUCAAACACACGUUUAGUUAAAUCAAUUUGCCUAUUUGGUGGCGCCACCCACAUGGAAUACAAGGCAAAAAAAAACAAAAGCAAGCACGUCCACUCGAACAAUGUGACAUUAUUUUAUGAUUCGACACACACAUCCCACCUUUCAAUUGAAUAAUUAACUUCAUUUAAUUUGGUUUAAACCCAAAUCUGUUGCGUAAUUGCAUUGUACUACUACAGGUAAUUACCUUUAUCUUAGAUUGACUUGAAUUUGAACCGAGAGGCAGCACAAACAAACGCGUUCAAGCAAAUGCAAAACCAACCAAAACCUCAAUCAUCAAGUGGUCCAUUUGAUAAAUAAACUCAAUUACACAACUGCGCUGCCAAAGUUUUAUUUUAAAAAUAAAUAAAUAAAUAAAAGCGGCAGGCAUGUGCUUUGAUUGAAUGCCUUGAGAACACGUAAGCUCGAUCCAAUUGCAUGCCAGAAAAUACAAAGAAUGAAUCUUUUGGUGAAAAUUUCCCAUCCGCGGUGUGGCGGGCGGGCGGGCGGGCUGUAGCCAGAAAGAGCCAGAGAAUCUAAAACAAAACACCAAAAAUCCUGCCCUGGAAAUGACUCAGCAUACAGCCCAAUCCAAAUCUUAAUCAUUAAGUAUUUUUUUUUCUUUUUUUUUCUUUUUAAAAAUAGACAAAUUCUGUGGUUUGAUGAGUUGAAAGGGGUCCCCCCCCCUUACUUUCCACCUCAGCUCGCUCUCAUAUCCACUCAUGAUGAAUCUUCUGUUGACCCCGACCGCCCAAUCUAGGUUUAUCCAAGGAAUUAAUAAAAUAUUUACAGCUCUUUUAUUUAAAAUUUCUAAUUGUUCUUCAUUAAAUAGGGAAUGAAAAUAGUGUUAUAUAGCCGUGGCCUAUUAGCAUUGGAAGAGUACAAAUAUCGAAUCGCAAAUAAUGAAAAUUGAAAUAGAGAGACAAAUUAUUCGCAUGUUUUUCUAUGCUCCCCACUCACUUGAUUAAAAUUAGAUUUUAAUGUAGUAUUGUUACCUUACACGUGUUAAUCUUAUCCAAAACAAACAUCCAUGCACGGUUACACCCACUUUAUAGAUUAAUAAAAUCUAAUUAGUAAUUAACCACAAAUAUAAAACUCUUUUUUUUUUUUCUGAAGCUCAAUUAAAACAUUAAACAAAAGAUACCAAUGUGAUCAAUGAACCACUUUUAUGAAUAGUAUAAGCAUAAUGCCGAUUGCCAAGGUGACAUACAUGAUUAUGAUUCAGCCACACAUAUUGAAAUAAAUUAAUUA
RNAcentral lists this long non-coding RNA (1772 nucleotides) under Citrus x clementina. RNAcentral's name for it is "Citrus clementina (C. clementina) long non-coding RNA (CCLE_LNC000087)". The record is from RNAcentral. Lineage: Eukaryota; Viridiplantae; Streptophyta; Magnoliopsida; Sapindales; Rutaceae.